This 301-nucleotide ribosomal RNA is filed under the name uncultured bacterium. Its description in RNAcentral is "partial 16S ribosomal RNA". It matches the Rfam family "Bacterial small subunit ribosomal RNA", at positions 509 to 807 of the family's 1533-position model. The record is from RNAcentral.
CAGCCGCCGCGGGAAUACGGAGGGUGCAAGCGUUAAUCGGAAUUACUGGGCGUAAAGCGCACGCAGGCGGUUUGUUAAGUCAGAUGUGAAAUCCCCGAGCUUAACUUGGGAACUGCAUUUGAAACUGGCAGGCUAGAGUCUUGUAGAGGGGGGUAGAAUUCCAGGUGUAGCGGUGAAAUGCGUAGAGAUCUGGAGGAAUACCGGUGGCGAAGGCGGCCCCCUGGACAAAGACUGACGCUCAGGUGCGAAAGCGUGGGGAGCAAACAGGAUUAGAUACCCGCGUAGUCCCUGUCUCUUAUAC